GGCUCUCUGUUUACAUAAAUAUAGGGAGUCGAGCCUGCCCAGUGAAUUUUUAAACGGCCGCGGUACUCUGACCGUGCAAAGGUAGCAUAAUCAUUUGCCUUAUAAUUGAAGGCUAGUAUGAAUGGUUUGACGAGAGCAACACUGUCUCCUUUUUAUUUUCAAGAACUUAACUUUUAGGUGAAGAGGCCUAAAUUUUAUUGAAGGACAAGAAGACCCUAUCGAGCUUAAAAGACAUUAUAGAAGUUUAUAUAUUUCUAAAUAAAUUUUCUAUUGAGCUUUUUAGUUGGGGCGACUAAGGAACAAAAAAAGCUUCUUGCUGAUAAUAGACAGUCAUGUUUAGAUCCGAUAAUAAUCGAUCAAAGAAAUUAGUUACCGUAGGGAUAACAGCAUAAUCUCUCUUGAGAGACCUAAUCGAAAGAGGGGGUUGUGACCUCGAUGUUGGACUAGAAUAUCCUAAAGAUGUAGAAGUCUUUGAAAGGUCGGUCUGUUCGACCGUUUAAAAUUCU
This 506-nucleotide ribosomal RNA is filed under the name Juga plicifera. Its description in RNAcentral is "partial large subunit ribosomal RNA". It matches the Rfam family "Bacterial large subunit ribosomal RNA", at positions 1817 to 2597 of the family's 2925-position model. Lineage: Eukaryota; Metazoa; Mollusca; Gastropoda; Semisulcospiridae. The record is from RNAcentral.